This is a non-coding RNA of Paramormyrops kingsleyae, 1413 nucleotides long. The record is from RefSeq and is a predicted model, not a curated record. Lineage: Eukaryota; Metazoa; Chordata; Actinopteri; Osteoglossiformes; Mormyridae.
CCGGAAGUGCUAGGUCUGUCAGUGUGACGCAAUGCAGUAUGGGAGGUCAUUGUCGGAGGAUCGUGGAGUAGUCUUUAACCUUGUGGCAGCAUAGCUGUCCUGGGGUAUUUGUAGGGAGAAUUCAGCUUUUUUGUUUGUAUAUUUAUUUGAGCAUUGUCUAACUGUCACCCACGAUGUCACUCGCUGCAGAGGCGUUUGUCUCCCAAAUCGCAGCAUCUGAACCCUGGCCAGAAAAUGCUACUCUUUACCAGCCGCUAAGGGAUAACCAGAUUCUGCUGUCGGACUGCGCCUCUUCCCUUGCUGUGCAGGCAUAUCUGCGUAUGUGCGACCUGCCACUCAGGGUCUGUUGUCGGGCCAACGCCGAGCACAUGUCUCCCUCUGGUAAGUCUCUGUGCUCUGUAGGGUCCCCUCCUCUUUUACUGCUUCCCUGUGUUGCCGCUGGUACAGUGGCAAAGCUGCUAUCCCAUGAAGCACUGGGGCCGUCAGGUGCACUUACUUGCCUGCAUGCACUCUGUGUGUGUGUGUGUGUGUGUGUGUGUGUGUGUGUGUGUGUGUGUGAGUGCGUGCGUGUGAGAGAGAGUGUGUGUGAGUGCGUAUGUCUCUGUGGAUUUGUAUUUACCACAUUGUGGAGACCAAGAGGGUAUUUUUCGUACAUGAAUUACUCUAUUAGCCGGAUGUAAUUGUUGACAAUUUGGCAUGAUCCUGGAUCUGUCGGUUUUUUUAAACUCUUGCUGGAUGUGUUGUCAUAGCAGCACAUCCAAAUCCUCAAGCCUACUCGGAGCAGGUUUGUUCUACGUAAACAAGGAUUAGCUCACACACUUAAUCAGUGUCCGUGCAUGGAAAUCCAUUCGGUCAUGGCCUCGCCAUUUAUGGAUGAGCGACCAAUUGCAAUCGGUGCACAAAUAAUAAGAAGGGAAUUUCAAAUUGCAAGGGUUUUGCGUGAUCGGCAAGAUCCUUUAUUGUUGCCGGAUGACAUUCUUUUCAAAAGAUACCACUUGAGCCGAGAUGGAAUAUUAUAUCUUAAAGAUUUAUUAGCUCCAUAUAAUAGAAGUCCAACUAGGCGAAGUCGGGCUCUCGCAGCCACACAGACAAUGUGCAUUGCCUUGAGAUAUUUUGCAAGCGGCACUUUUUUGUACAUUGUAGGCAAUGCGGAAAAUAUAUCAGAGUACAGUUUGCCAGGCAAUUUGCAAUUGCAAGUGCAGGCAAUUUUAUGCCAUUGCAGGUAAUGUGUACGCAAUAAAUUUACAGUUCUAUAAAGAAUUUAAUAUUCUCAUUACCCAGAAUUUCCAAAGGUUUUGUCUGCCUUCUUAUUAGCUCCAAAAGGAAUGUUUUAUAAAUAUUAAAGAUCUCCUACAUUUCAUAUGCAUAAAAUUAAUAAACACAUACAUACAUUCAUACAGUGCCUGACAAAAG